RNAcentral lists this ribosomal RNA (156 nucleotides) under Pichia kluyveri. Its description in RNAcentral is "5.8S ribosomal RNA". It matches the Rfam family "5.8S ribosomal RNA". Rfam says of the family: 5.8S ribosomal RNA (5.8S rRNA) is a component of the large subunit of the eukaryotic ribosome. Lineage: Eukaryota; Fungi; Ascomycota; Pichiomycetes; Pichiales; Pichiaceae. The record is from RNAcentral.
AACUUUCAACAACGGAUCUCUUGGUUCUCGCAUCGAUGAAGAGCGCAGCGAAAUGCGAUACCUAGUGUGAAUUGCAGCCAUCGUGAAUCAUCGAGUUCUUGAACGCACAUUGCGCCCCAUGGUAUUCCAUGGGGCAUGCCUGUCUGAGCGUCGUUU